This 292-nucleotide long non-coding RNA is filed under the name Populus trichocarpa (black cottonwood). Its description in RNAcentral is "long non-coding RNA (PTRI_LNC000982)". Lineage: Eukaryota; Viridiplantae; Streptophyta; Magnoliopsida; Malpighiales; Salicaceae. The record is from RNAcentral.
UUUAUUAAAAAAAUAAGCCAUUUCAUUAUUAUAUUGCAAUUCAUACUUGAAAUGACAUCUACAGAUUGAGUUUAAAAGGAAAAUUUACUGCAGUAAAUUAUUUUUAGGCCUUGAAUGAAGUUUUUUUGGUUCUAUUAAAUUUUGGCUUAUCGCCCUCCUUUCACUUCUUUCUCAAAGUUUAUUUGAUUUGAUUUUUUAUUUUAUUUUGAAAAGGUUAAUCAUUAAGAGAAUAAUAAUUACCUCCAAAUAGGAGUUUUUGAAUUAUAAAUUUUACCCCUCCAUACCCACCGGC